This 3082-nucleotide long non-coding RNA is filed under the name Hordeum vulgare. Its description in RNAcentral is "long non-coding RNA (HVUL_LNC012338)". Lineage: Eukaryota; Viridiplantae; Streptophyta; Magnoliopsida; Poales; Poaceae. The record is from RNAcentral.
GUUCUCCUCCUCCUCUCCCCUUUGCGCCGUCGGGGCGAGUCCCAGAGCCGCCACCGCCAUGAUCGGACCGAAGCAAGCUCGACGUCGUCGUUGAUCGUCGCCCCCUUUCUUCCCUAGAUGGACCCGGAGAAUGCGGACGCCAGGGGCGACCCAUUUUGGCGAAGACAGGACGCUGAGGGCUUCUUCCACGACGUCCCCGACGACAGUUCUUCCACUCCCUCCGGCGAGCUUCUUCCACUCCGGCUCGUCAGCCACCCUCCUCUCCUACGCUGGAUCGUCUUCUCUGCCCCUAGGUGAGCCGCAGUCCCACUCUCGUCCACUCCCCUCUCUGUUAGUCGCAUCGUUGCUAGCUGAGCUCGAUCCCUGCCGGAGAUGCACCGAUAGGAUGAGGUAGCCGCAGCUGCAGCAUGCAUGUGUGCGUGCUUGGACAUCGCCCCCUCUCCACGACAAGGCCACGUCCGUAGCUCUAGCAGUUCCCCUCAUAGCGCGUCGCUGUCGCGUAGCCUACCGCUGUUGUCGUUUUCUUUCCUUUGGUGCAUCGGUUAGCAGCAGCAACACAGUAGUAGCAGAGCACGAGAGCUCGAGCUCCCACGCCUCCUUUGUGCGUAUAAGCCCCGGGAACGGAACCCCCUAGGGUUCUUGCAGCCCCGCCGGUAGUCAGCAGCCGCCGCCUUCGUCGCUCCACUCGCCGCCGACAACUUUCCCUCCUCUAUCUGGAGGUGGAAGAAGGGCACCGCCCUGAGAUAGAUCAUAAGGAGCUAAGCCCCUCCUCUGCCAGUAGCAGCAUCGUAGCGCGACUGGCAGCAGGUUGCGCGUGUGACCCUGAGAUAGUGGGUUCAAUACCAACAGCCCUUUUUGGUUUCGGUAGUUUUCGCGUAGUAGUUUAGAGAGCAGGACAGGUUCAUGGGACGGUGCGGCUCAGCUAGUUCAUCAACACCUCGCUAUCGUAGUGUCAACAGAGCCACGACUGCCCAUUUUGAUCGUGUGUUCGAGUCCCCUGGCGCCCCCCUUUUUUAUUAGGUAUUAUUUACCUAUGUUGGUAGUUGCAGUGUAUGCAUAUCCGCGUUACCCCCCUCUAUUGUGCAACUAGCCUGCGGUAGUCGAUUGGUAGUGUGUGUUUUGUGUGUGUGUGUGGGUGAGGUGGUGGGUACGACCCCUGCCAGACACCCUAUUUAUUUCGUGUUGAUUGUUGUGUGUGCCACUGACAACGGCCCACAUGAUCCAUGUCAUGUACUAGGGGCCCUGGUACCUAUGACAAACCCUUUUUAUUAGGUAUUAUUUACCUAUGUUGGUAGUUGCAGUGUAUGCAUAUCCGCGUUACCCCCCUCUAUUGUGCAACUAGCCUGCGGUAGUCGAUUGGUAGUGUGUGUUUUGUGUGUGUGUGUGGGUGAGGUGGUGGGUACGACCCCUGCCAGACACCCUAUUUAUUUCGUGUUGAUUGUUGUGUGUGCCACUGACAACGGCCCACAUGAUCCAUGACAUGUACUAGGGGCCCUGGUACCUAUGACAAACCCUUUUUAUUUCGUGUUGAUUGUUGUGUGUGCCACUGACAACGGCCCACAUGAUCCAUGACAUGUACUAGGGGCCCUGGUACCUAUGACAAACCCUUUUUAUUUCGUGUUGAUUGUUGUGUGUGCCACUGACAACGGCCCACAUGAUCCAUGACAUGUACUAGGGGCCCUGGUACCUAUGACAAACCCUUUUUAUUUCGUGUUGAUUGUUGUGUGUGCCACUGACAACGGCCCACAUGAUCCGUACUAGGGGCCCUGGUACCUAUGACAAGUGGGCCCCUGUCUGAUUAGGUCAUAGUAUAUUUUUUCAUUUUUUCUGUUGAUGUGAUAAUUCCAUUUUUGGAAUUGUCCAGAAAUGGAAUUGCCUAAUCUGGUUUAUACCAAAUCUGGCAGGUUCUAGGGCAUCCUUUGUUCUUGACAUGAAUAGAUUUGAUCCUGUGUAGUUUUUCUUUUCCGUGUUGUGGUGUUUUUCUGCAUGCAUAUGUAGCAAUGUGAUAUAUGGAUUUGGGGUACAAUGUCCUUAGUAAUCCAAUGGUGGCACUGAAUUCUAUAUUUCAGCAGUUCUGCAAAAGUGUCAUUUUGUGAUGAGUUGGGAUGUGGUGUGGAGUAGGAUUGUUUCUGCGCAUAUUUACAGUUUGUGCAUGCAUGCAUCAUUUUGAUUGUUGCAUAAUCUCUUGCUGGUGUUUAUUGGAUGAUUGUUUCUUUUGGGUAGCUACUGGGUCUGGAAACGAGUUCAAGGAGUCAGGUGAGUUCGUGCAGGAAGAUCACGAACAGUUCCACUCUGAAGUGGCCCCCUUGUCUGAUUAGGUUAUAGUAUAUUUUUUCAUUUUUUCUGUUGAUGUCAUAAUUCCAUUUUUGGAAUUGUCUAGAAAUGGAAUUGCCUAAUCUGGUUUAUACCAAAUCUGGCAGGUUCUAGGGCAUCCUUUGUUCUUGACAUGAAUAGAUUUGAUCCUGUGUAGUUUUUCUUUUCCGUGUUGUGGUGUUUUUCUGCAUGCAUAUGUAGCAAUGUGAUAUAUGGAUUUGCGGUACAAAGUCCUUAGUAAUCCAAUGGUGGCACUGAAUUCUAUAUUUCAACAGUUCUGCAAAAAUGUCAUUUUGUGAUGAGUUGGGAUGUGGUGUGGAGUAGGAUUGUUUCUGCGCAUAUUUAGAGUUUGUGCAUGCAUGCAUCAUUUUGAUUGUUGCAUAAUCUCUUGCUGGUGUUUAUUGGAUGAUUGUUUCUUUUGGGUAGCUACUGGGUCUGGAAACGAGUUCAAGGAGUCAGGUGAGUUCGUGCAGGAAGAUCACGAACAGUUCCACUCUGAAGUGGCCCCCUUGUCUGAUUAGGUUAUAGUAUAUUUUUUCAUUUUUUCUGUUGAUGUCAUAAUUCCAUUUUUGGAAUUGUCUAGAAAUGGAAUUGCCUAAUCUGGUUUAUACCAAAUCUGGCAGGUUCUAGGGCAUCCUUUGUUCUUGACAUGAAUAGAUUUGAUCCUGUGUAGAUUUUCUUUUCCGUGUUGUGGUGUUUUUCUGCAUGCAUAUGUAGCAAUGUGAUAUAUGGAUUUGGGGUACAAUGUCCUUAGUAAUCCAAUGGUGGC